GUGUCAUGUGGUUGUCUUUUCCUUUAAACCAGAACAGGCCGUAUCUUGGAUUUCUAUUCCUUCUUUGUGAAAUAUUUGCACACAAAAUAUUAUGUAUAUCUGUAGGAAGCUAUAAAUAAGGAACACUGUUGGUCACACUGCUUCCAAUAAGCAAAUAAACCAAACCAUAACUAAGAUGAGACUACUUCAUAACCCCCACAGAGGACGUGAAGGAAAGUUCAAUGUCUGUGAAGGUUUGUUCUCCCUCGUGGUCCCAGUAUUUUUGAGCUACAACAGAAUUAUUUCUGGAGUGAGUUUUCAGAAGGAAGCAGUGGCAUGUGCCUGGGCCAGGCAGCCUGUUGCUGUUGAACAGCAAUCUUUCGUGCCAGUGGUGCCGAAACUCUGCUUUGAGGUUCGUGCCCUGAACUGCCUUUUCUCUCCCGGAGUUAAACAAAAGUCAGAGCUGAAUUUAGCCUGUGCUGGUGACGUCGCUGAAGGACACCUGUGCAUAGGACACCCAGGCCUUUUGUGAUGGAUGGUUGUUGAAGAAUCAAGACCUCUUUCUUCACAGCCCCAGAGAUUUUAUGGUACUUCAAGGAAAAGGCAUCUGAAGGAGGAAGCCCAUGCCUUAAGCCUGUGGUUGCGACUGUGUGCCUUCACCUCUGUGCUGUGCUCUGUGGAUGGUGAGACUGAGAGAAGUCGUGGUGCCAGUGGUGGACUGGGGACCUGGACACUGAAGCCAGUGGAUGCAGGCCAGCUGAGGCUAUGACUUAUCCUGAUUAAGCUGCUCUAAAGUCCAAUAGUCUGAACACAGUGAGUGUGAGCAUACCCUUUACUUUUUCAAUAAGUCAGCGAGGAAAGGUUUUGUGCUGUAGAUGAAUUUAUUAAAAAAAAACAAAAACCAUAAUAACGUUAUUCACAAUAUUGCAUUUUCGA
This 915-nucleotide long non-coding RNA is filed under the name Struthio camelus australis. RNAcentral describes it as "lncRNA (ENSSCUG00000002694.1)". The record is from RNAcentral. Lineage: Eukaryota; Metazoa; Chordata; Aves; Struthioniformes; Struthionidae.